UGGUGAGGGAGCUGGAGAACAUACUAAACAUGAUGCCCGACGAUAGCGGCACCUUGUAUUCAGACUUGUCCACAAGAUCAAGUGCCAGGCUUCCAUCCUCACCGACAUCAACGUCCUGCAUCACCCGGGACCAGUUUGCAUCAGGAAGCAUUUCGGGGAGCGAUCUCAUCAGUGAUGUCAUGCCAACCAUCAGACCUCGAUGACAUUUUG
Molecule: unclassified non-coding RNA, 210 nt
Filed under: Hevea brasiliensis (rubber tree)
Lineage: Eukaryota; Viridiplantae; Streptophyta; Magnoliopsida; Malpighiales; Euphorbiaceae
Source: RNAcentral